This 490-nucleotide ribosomal RNA is filed under the name uncultured bacterium. RNAcentral describes it as "partial 16S ribosomal RNA". It matches the Rfam family "Bacterial small subunit ribosomal RNA", at positions 29 to 507 of the family's 1533-position model. The record is from RNAcentral.
AUUGAACGCUGGCGGCAGGCCUAACACAUGCAAGUCGAACGGUAACAGGAAGCAGCUUGCUGCUUCGCUGACGAGUGGCGGACGGGUGAGUAAUGUCUGGGAAGCUGCCUGAUGGAGGGGGAUAACUACUGGAAACGGUAGCUAAUACCGCAUAAUGUCGCAAGACCAAAGAGGGGGACCUUCGGGCCUCUUGCCAUCGGAUGUGCCCAGAUGGGAUUAGCUUGUUGGUGGGGUAACGGCUCACCAAGGCGACGAUCCCUAGCUGGUCUGAGAGGAUGACCAGCCAACCCGGAACUGGGACACGGUCCAGACUCCUAAGGGAGGGAGCAGGUGGGAAUAUUGGACAAUGGGGGGAAGCCUGAUGCAGCCCUGCCGGGUGGAAGGAGGAGGCCUUCGGGGUGUAAAGUACUUUCAGCGGGGAGGAAGGGAGUAAAGUUAAUACCUUUGCUCAUUGACGUUACCCGCAGAAGAAGCACCGGCUAACUCCGUG